GCGGCAGCCGGGCCGGGACGGCCGGCCCGUGUGGGAGCGCUGCGCCCUCCGCCUUCUGGGGAGACACGGCGGUAUCAGGUAACCCAGGUAAUUAGCUGGUGAAAAGCUGUUGGUUGCCAUUGCUUCAGCAUGUUUCUGCUGGUUCCUCAGCUACUGUAUGGAGAGAAGCUGGAUUAUUUUGUUUUUGAUUAUCUCUCAGAGAUAACCAUAUGCCUGCUCACUACUGCAAAACUGAAAUCUUCUAAGGAGACUCUGCAAAGAUCAGCUAUCACAGAUAUGGAGAGUGGGAAGAAAUUUCCAGACACCAUUGAAAGUGCGAAUGUUUCCCUCGAGAAAGUAAAAAGAAAGAAAUCACAAGGAAACUUGUCUGUCUUGGCCUGGGGUUCAUUGUGAGGGAACAGUGUCUCCCCUGAGAAUCUGUGAUCAUAGACCUGCCUUCACACAGUUUGGUUGGAAAAGCAAUGACUUUGAUUUAGUAGCAGCUGAAAGGUACAAUAUAGGAUUUCCUGUACUGGAACAUUUUCCUGAUGGACCGUUCAUCCUCUCCAAGCCCCCUGGCAUGGAGGGGUCAGUCUCCUUUGGCACGGUGGCUGAACAGCUAUGGUACGAAAUUGGUGAUCCUCAGCGUUUCCCCUUACCUGAUGUAACUUGUGACUUUUCUCAAGUCUCUAUUACUGAAAUUCCAGUCAGUGACUGAUGUUUUUGUUUUUAAAUGUUACAUUUCCUCUCUCUCUUUC
Diceros bicornis minor is the source of this 737-nucleotide long non-coding RNA. RefSeq lists it as uncharacterized. NCBI's taxonomy places the organism in Eukaryota, Metazoa, Chordata, Mammalia, Perissodactyla, Rhinocerotidae. The transcript has 7 exons. The record is from RefSeq and is a predicted model, not a curated record.